This is a long non-coding RNA of Myxocyprinus asiaticus (Chinese sucker), 1784 nucleotides long. RefSeq lists it as uncharacterized. The record is from RefSeq and is a predicted model, not a curated record. NCBI's taxonomy places the organism in Eukaryota, Metazoa, Chordata, Actinopteri, Cypriniformes, Catostomidae. The transcript has 9 exons.
UAACCAUUGCUUUGUGUCUGCAUUUAGUUUUGUUCCCUUGUUUGUGAACCUUUGUUCUGUUUCAUGUUUUCUGUAGUUAUGCAAGUUACUUGAAGCUGAAUUUCACAAAAUGAGAUCACUUACUGCUUUAGGUUGGCUGCUUUAGGCCCCAGGUGGCAAUGGAAGAAGAAAGCUUACAAUUGUCCCUCCAGACUCAGAGGGCUAUACAGGCAGACUUAUCAAGAUGGCAACGACCACUGGAAGAACAGCACUCUACAUGGUCCCUCUUCAAGAUGAGUUAUGUCUUGAUCCACUGCCAUUCUCAGCAGAGGAGUUUGCUAAGAUGCCAAAGGUGGAGUGUUGGACAUGUAAAACAACAAUGCCACUUCAUACUUGCAUGUCAAGUCCUUUGGUGGCACACAGUCAGCUGAUGAUGAAGAGAUUACUGAUGAUGAUGUGAAAAUAGUUGCUGAGACGGCCAGUACUGUGACCCUUGCCGCCCCAACCCCUACUUCUAGGCCUACACCUACUACCCCAACACGAACGUCUACUCCUACCCCCACCACAAGUGAUGAGGAUGUGGGACAGUGUCCCAUUUGUAUGGACAUAUUUACACAGAGAUAGUUGCCUGUGCAUGCAAGUAUAUGUGGAGAAAGGUAAGAUGUCAUGAUUUGCAAAAGCAAAUCAUUGUCAACAAUUUUGUAUUUUAUGAGGUUUUUGAGUUAAAUCAAGCUUUAUUGUAAUGAGAACUUUAUAUCCUCAGUGUAAUACAGACAUUAACUUAUGCGAUCAGUCCUCCAUGUGGCACAUCAAAACCAAAGCCCAGAAAUAAAGUGGGUUGAUGACAGCAAGGAUUUCAAGAUCUGCGUGUCUUGCACAGACUUCUUUCAAAGAGCUAUAUACAGUGGCAGCGCCAAAAGAGAGGAAACCCUGUCAACACUUUGCGUGUAACAUUUUGGGGGGAAGCAGGUGUUGAUACAGGUGCCAUUCGAAAGGAAUUUCUUACAGGUGGAAGAUGACGCUGAUCUCUCAGCAUGGACUGAUGCUAUAAUUAAUUGUGGUUUCACUGGGGCCAUUACACCAGAGAACAAAGAGGCCAUCAUACAAUCUGUUGUGCUGCAUGCAACCCUGCGUCUGAUCGCAAUGUUGAAGCAAGUCUGAAAAGGUCUCAAAGUGUACAAUUUUGUGGACAUCUUGGAAGAGCAUUCAGGACUGUGCCAACAUUUCUUUGUCCCAUGUGCAGUGGACGAUGAUAAGGCUGAUGCAGAUUUUAUCAUGUAGAGCAUUCUUCCCGAGCUAUCGGAGAAGGGAACAGUACGAGAGACCCCUGAAACGGCCAUCAUCAACUUCCUACAAGAUUUUCUUCAGGAAAUUGAAAGCGCUGAGGAUAACCCUGAUGGAGACACCCUGCCCCUAACUGUCCCCCGUAUAAUGCAGUGGCUUACCGGCCAGGGACACAAGCCUCUUCUUAUGUCAGAACUUAAGGAAUUCAAAAUCUCUUUGAAUUUUGACCACGAGUGCAAGCAGAGGAUGCCAGAGCACAAGAUUUGCUUCCCAGUUGUAAGUGACUGUGCCAGAAAAAUAACAUUUCCUACAGCACACAUUGACAACUAUAAUUCAUUCAAAACAGUCACGUUGCAAGCCAUCCAUUUUGACACUGAAUUCAACAGAGUUUAAAAUAUUAUAUGCUACUAAAUUUUAGAAUUGUAUCCUACUGACAGUGUACAUAUUCAAGGCAUAGAACCCUGCAUUGUUAAAUGUUCUUGUUAUUGUUCUCACUUUAUAGCAGAAAAAAACAAUGUAAA